CGGCUAUGCUGAGGUACUUCUGCGAUUCCUGGAUGGCGGUGACCCGAAGAGUGCGACCGCGUGGCCUUUGCCUGCCCGAGCGGUGGGCAGGUCGUGCGGCCGCCCUGAGCCCGGUGACGCGCCCGCAGCGGCCCAGCCGGGUCCGAGGUCGCGAGCCGUGAAUGCGUGGAUGGCAGCGGCUUGGUCUGAACUGGGUCGCGUUGUGGGUGAAACCUCAGGAGGCCCCGAAACGGACCUCCAUCUGCGUUCCCACGCUAGGAACUGGGGACAUCGGUUUGAGUGCCUUUGAGUUUAUUGGUCGUCGGCCGUGUAUGCCAGGGAGUUUUUAACAUAACGAGGAUUUUUUUUGUGAAAGGGAACGGCCUUUCACAGUGAAAUCGUUCGACGUAGAAAUGAAGAGACAGGGUUUAGAUCAUGACAGUCUGUCACGGUCCCGAGCUUGGCGGAAACCGAAGAGUACCACAAACUCUGCAGGUAAAAGAUGGGUGUUUGAAGCGUAAACUGCUGCUAGCUGACUACUACUUGGGAGCACACCUGUGACCUAAGGAUUUUUUGAUGAAGACUUUGAAAAGUUGAUCUUCGCAGGAGUUGCUUGGAUCAUUUAAAAUUUUCAUGAGUCUGAGGAGCACGCUAACUACUUUUGGACAGUCCAUACAUAUACACUUCAGUGGGUCUGAAUAAAUAUUUACAUGUGCUUCUUGGAGGUUUGU
Pteronotus mesoamericanus is the source of this 710-nucleotide long non-coding RNA. RefSeq lists it as uncharacterized. The transcript is spliced from 3 exons. The record is from RefSeq and is a predicted model, not a curated record. NCBI's taxonomy places the organism in Eukaryota, Metazoa, Chordata, Mammalia, Chiroptera, Mormoopidae.